UGCAAGUCGAGCGAACAGAGAAGGAGCUUGCUCCUUUGACGUUAGCGGCGGACGGGUGAGUAACACGUGGGCAACCUACCUUAUAGUUUGGGAUAACUCCGGGAAACCGGGGCUAAUACCGAAUAAUCUGUUCCACCUCAUGGUGGAACACUGAAAGACGGUUUCGGCUGUCGCUAUAAGAUGGGCCCGCGGCGCAUUAGCUAGUUGGUGAGGUAACGGCUCACCAAGGCGACGAUGCGUAGCCGACCUGAGAGGGUGAUCGGCCACACUGGGACUGAGACACGGCCCAGACUCCUACGGGAAGCAGCAGUAGGGAAUCUUCCACAAUGGGCGAAAGCCUGAUGGAGCAACGCCGCGUGAGUGAAGAAGGUUUUCGGAUCGUAAAACUCUGUUGUAAGGGAAGAACAAGUACAGUAGUAACUGGCUGUACCUUGACGGUACCUUAUUAGAAAGCCACGGCUAACUACGUGCCAGCAGCCGCGGUAAUACGUAGGUGGCAAGCGUUGUCCGGAAUUAUUGGGCGUAAAGCGCGCGCAGGCGGUCCUUUAAGUCUGAUGUGAAAGCCCACGGCUCAACCGUGGAGGGUCAUUGGAAACUGGGGGACUUGAGUGCAGAAGAAGAAAGUGGAAUUCCAAGUGUAGCGGUGAAAUGCGUAGAGAUUUGGAAGAACACCAGUGGCGAAAGCGACUUUCUGGUCUGUAACUGACGCUGAGGCGCGAAGCGUGGGGAGCAACAGGAUUGAUACCCUGGUAGUCACGCCGUAACGAUGGUGCUAAUGUUUGGGGGGUUUCCCCCCUUAUGCUGCAGCUACGCAUUAGCCUCGCCUGGGGAAUACGGCGCAAGCUGAACUCAAGGAUUGACGGGGCCGCCAACGGGGAAAUUUGGGUUUAUUCAAGCACCCAAAACCUUCCAGG
RNAcentral lists this ribosomal RNA (914 nucleotides) under bacterium. RNAcentral's name for it is "bacterial SSU rRNA". It matches the Rfam family "Bacterial small subunit ribosomal RNA", at positions 56 to 977 of the family's 1533-position model. The record is from RNAcentral.